GACGAACGCUGGCGGCGUGCUUAACACAUGCAAGUCGAACGGUAAGGCCCUUCGGGGUACACGAGUGGCGAACGGGUGAGUAACACGUGGGUGAUCUGCCCUGCACUUCGGGAUAAGCCUGGGAAACUGGGUCUAAUACCGGAUAGGACCACUGCCUGCAUGGGUGGUGGUGGAAAGCUUUUGUGGUGUGGGAUGGGCGCGCGGCUCAUCAGCUUGUUGGGGGGGUGAUGGCGUACCAAGGCGACGACGGGUAGCCGGCCUGAGAGGGUGACCGGCCACACUGGGACUGAGAUACGGCCCCGACUCCUACGGGAGGCAGCAGUGGGGAAUAUUGCACAAUGGGCGCAAGCCUGAUGCAGCGACGCCGCGUGAGGGAUGACGGCCUUCGGGUUGUAAACCUCUUUCAGCACCGACGAAGCGCAAGUGACGGUAGGUGCAGAAGAAGGACCGGCCAACUACGUGCCAGCCGCCGCGGUAA
Molecule: ribosomal RNA, 478 nt
Filed under: uncultured bacterium
Lineage: Bacteria
Description: partial 16S ribosomal RNA
Rfam family: Bacterial small subunit ribosomal RNA
Source: RNAcentral